GAGACGAGGAAGGGCGUAGCAAGCGAUGAAAUGCUUCGGGGAGUUGAAAAUAAGCAUAGAUCCAGAGAUUUCCAAAUAGGUUAACCUUUUAAACUGCCUGCGAAAUCCAUGAGCAGGCAAGAGACAACCUGGCAAACUGAAACAUCUUAGUAGCCAGAGGAAAAGAAAGCAAAAGCGAUUCCUGUAGUAGCGCCGAUCGGUAUUCUAUAUCAGCGGACCCAACCCUCC
Molecule: non-coding RNA, 228 nt
Filed under: Triticum aestivum (bread wheat)
Lineage: Eukaryota; Viridiplantae; Streptophyta; Magnoliopsida; Poales; Poaceae
Description: Bacterial large subunit ribosomal RNA
Rfam family: Bacterial large subunit ribosomal RNA
Source: Rfam by way of RNAcentral